GCGAGCACGCGCGUGUGGCAUAUCAAUAAGCGGAGGAAAAGAAACUAACAAGGAUUCCCUUAGUAACGGCGAGUGAAGCGGGAAGAGCUCAAAUUUGAAAUCUUCAAGGUUCUACCUUGACGAAUUGUAGUUUAUAGAAGUGUUUUCUGUUAGUAGGAGUGGCAAAAGUCUUUUGGAAUAGGACAUCAUAGAGGGUGAGAAUCCCGUAUUUGGUCAUUCCUUCUAGCUUUGUGAUACACUUUCAACGAGUCGGAUUGUUUGGGAAUGCAGUCCAAAAUGGGUGGUAAAUUUCAUCUAAAGCUAAAUAUUGGCGAGAGACCGAUAGCGAACAAGUACCGUGAGGGAAAGAUGAAAAGAACUUUGAAAAGAGAGUUAAACAGUACGUGAAAUUGUCAAAAGGGAAGCGUUUGACACCAGUGUUGUUUUUCCGAAAAUCAAUUACGAAUGUUUAUUUUUGAGGAGUUAUGACUUCAUCGGCUUGCUCCUUUCUUUAUGAAACUUUCUUAAUGCACUUUUCGGUUAACAAGUCAACAUCAAUUUCUUUUGUUGUAAAAGGGUAUGAGGAAGGUGGCUUUCUUUUCGGAGAAAGUGUUUAUAGCCUUGUGCCUCUAGCAAUCGGAGAGAUUGAGGUCUGCAGCGUAGAUCCUUCGGGGUUAGAUACGUUUGUGCUAAGUUAUAGCUUUUCAUAGACAACUUGUUGACUAUGUUUAGUCUUGUAGAUUACUCGCUAGAUGCUAUUUUACCUACGCUUAGGAUGUUGAUGUGAUACUGCGAGCA
Molecule: ribosomal RNA, 777 nt
Filed under: uncultured Neocallimastigales
Lineage: Eukaryota; Fungi; Neocallimastigomycota; Neocallimastigomycetes; Neocallimastigales
Description: partial large subunit ribosomal RNA
Rfam family: Eukaryotic large subunit ribosomal RNA
Source: RNAcentral